CAACCCGCUCUUAUCUGUUGCAUCUUAACACCUCUCUCAGGCCACCAGCCACUUGCACACCUUCGGAGUCCCGGGCUUCCUGUGACAGCCCAGCCCUCUAUCUUCGGCUUUCUGGGCUUGAGCCCUGCAGACAUUUGUCAAGUUCAGAGAAUGCUCUGGAGCCAGGAGAGGCAAGAGAGUUACAAGAAAGCUGAGAAUAAAUAGUUGAGUGAGCAGGAAGAGGGAUGGAAGGACGUCUGAGCAAGGCGACAGGAAAUGGAGAAGUACCGGAAGGAGCUGUGGGGAAAGGGAGAGACAUGAGGCAAAUGGAAGGGAAAGGGUGACAGGAGUGCGGAUCUUGAAGUCGAUUCCUACGAGUGGAGCAUAUAUAUAUCACUCAGGCUGAGACUCUGCAGGGACGAGGAGGGCGUGCAGGGGAGACCCGGCAUGGAGCAGCAGCAGGGCUAGAAACUGUGCAGGGGUGCACUUGGGAAGCAACUUUGUUGCACGUAUAAAACUAAGAGACUUUUCUCAAACCUGUAUUUGGGUAGCAAGCAUC
Panthera uncia (snow leopard) is the source of this 538-nucleotide long non-coding RNA. RefSeq lists it as uncharacterized. Lineage: Eukaryota; Metazoa; Chordata; Mammalia; Carnivora; Felidae. The transcript is spliced from 3 exons. The record is from RefSeq and is a predicted model, not a curated record.